Molecule: long non-coding RNA, 1363 nt
Filed under: Anas platyrhynchos platyrhynchos (common mallard)
Lineage: Eukaryota; Metazoa; Chordata; Aves; Anseriformes; Anatidae
Description: lncRNA (ENSAPLG00000025391.1)
Source: RNAcentral
AUGGAUCAUUGUCAUGUGCUGUUACUGCUGGUGGCAUGGCAGCCAGACAAAACUACGCUUUGGAGAUGGAAAUGUUUUAAUGGAAAAACAAUAAUCACUGUCAGGCUCUCCAUCUGUGUUCAUGGUCCUGCCAUCAGGUUUCACCAGACUGCUGUUUUGUGGAAGCCCAGCCCUGGUCACAGCCAUCAGUCAGCUGAGGUACUUGCUCCUCUCUCUGCUCCUUACUCACGAGCAGACCCUGCUUGCAGCACUUCAGCAAUUUGGCAAGGAGAGAGCCAGGAUGAGGUGAGUGAUUUGUUCACUAGCGCGAUGGCAGGACCCCUGGUUCUUGUUAAAGGCACGGGAGAUAAGAGAUACUGUUGAUGUUUUAAGGUGUUCUUAUCAUAGACUUGAGCCCCAAAUGGCACUUCAUCCACACUUUCUCUCCAGCUUGUUGACGAAAAUGGAGCACUUUCUCCUGCUGUCUCCAGUCUCUGGAAAGCCCCUAGACAAAAGAAUAAUUUUUCAGACACAUCAUUUCCUUUUGUGAAUCAAACUCUAACCCCUUAAUGUUCAGCAAAUAAUUUGUUCCAAAGGGACUGUGUUGUAUGUGAUCGUAAUUACAUUUGGUUUUUAAUAAUCAUAAACACUCUUAUUUUCUAAGAACCAGCAAAACUGAUUUCCAAAUCAUUUAAUUUGAAUGGCAUGUUUUGUGUUUGUGUAGCAUCUUCUCCCCCCAUACACACUUCUAAAGAAAAACAAACAAUGUAUUAAAAAAAAAAAAAAAGGCAAGUGUGGGGGAAAAACCUUGGAGAACUUUAAAAGACUCUAAACCUGAAAAGGGAGGGUGGGAUCAGCUAAUUUGUCCCUCUUUUGUGUCGUUUAUUAAGCCUUUUGUUCUGGAACGCAUGGGUUCAGUGGGAAAGCGGUUUUUGAUAUAUAAUGUAUUUACUUUUGCUAAUUAAUUAAAGCAGUAUUCAUAUGAAAAUGCCGACUGAUAAUGGCUUUCACAGCAACAACUGUGUUUUUUAAAGUAGCAACUUUUAAUUACAAAUUGACUGGCAGAAAUAUAUAAACCCAAAUAUUGUUCCACUGAUUUCCUUUUAACUGUGUUACUCUUGCUUGAUUUAUCGGAUUAGGGCUUUUCACACAUAGUGCGUACAAGAUAUUGUUUUUAAUGAGAAAUUAAAAGAUUACCAACAAUACCCAUAAACCAUUAAAAACACAAACUCUAGAUGAAUGGUAAUUAGACAGAAUGAUUUGAGGCUGAUAAAUUGAAAGCAAUUAAUGUAUUUGUUUGGGAUUCUGAAGAUAGCUGUGUUCCAGAAAGCACUGAAGGGUUCAGAUUUGGUGCUGGAUUGCGUACAGAGAUACCUGCACAGCU